AUACGGAGGGUGCGAGCGUUGUUCGGAUUUAUUGGGCGUAAAGCGCGUGUAGGCGGUUUGUUAAGUCUGAUGUGAAAGCCCUGGGCUCAACCUGGGAAGUGCAUUGGAAACUGGCAGACUUGAAUACGGGAGAGGGUAGUGGAAUUCCUAGUGUAGGAGUGAAAUCCGUAGAUAUUAGGAGGAACACGGUGGCGAAGGCGGCUACCUGGACCGAUACUGACGCCGAGACGCGAAAGCGUGGGGAGC
Molecule: ribosomal RNA, 246 nt
Filed under: uncultured bacterium
Lineage: Bacteria
Description: partial 16S ribosomal RNA
Rfam family: Bacterial small subunit ribosomal RNA
Source: RNAcentral